This 194-nucleotide ribosomal RNA is filed under the name uncultured Bacillus sp. RNAcentral's name for it is "partial 16S ribosomal RNA". It matches the Rfam family "Bacterial small subunit ribosomal RNA", at positions 338 to 524 of the family's 1533-position model. Lineage: Bacteria; Bacillati; Bacillota; Bacilli; Caryophanales; Bacillaceae. The record is from RNAcentral.
CCUACGGGAGGCAGCAGUGGGGAAUCUUCCACAAUGGACGAAAGUCUGAUGGAGCAACGCCGCGUGAGUGAAGAAGGUUCUCGGAUCGUAAAACUCUGUUGUGAGGGAAGAACAAGUACCGGAGUAACUGCCGGUACCUUGACGGUACCUCAUUAGAAAGCCACGGCUAACUACGUGCCAGCAGCCGCGGUAAU